RNAcentral lists this ribosomal RNA (472 nucleotides) under uncultured bacterium. RNAcentral describes it as "bacterial SSU rRNA". It matches the Rfam family "Bacterial small subunit ribosomal RNA", at positions 355 to 825 of the family's 1533-position model. The record is from RNAcentral.
UGGGGAAUUUUGGACAAUGGGCGCAAGCCUGAUCCAGCCAUGCCGCGUGUGGGAAGAAGGCCUUCGGGUUGUAAACCACUUUUGUCAGGGAAGAAACGGCCUGAUCUAAUACAUUGGGUUAAUGACGGUACCUGAAGAAUAAGCACCGGCUAACUACGUGCCAGCAGCCGCGGUAAUACGUAGGGUGCGAGCGUUAAUCGGAAUUACUGGGCGUAAAGCGUGCGCAGGCGGCUUUGCAAGACAGAUGUGAAAUCCCCGGGCUCAACCUGGGAACUGCAUUUGUGACUGCAAGGCUAGAGUACGGUAGAGGGGGAUGGAAUUCCGCGUGUAGCAGUGAAAUGCGUAGAUAUGCGGAGGAACACCGAUGGCGAAGGCAAUCCCCUGGACCUGUACUGACGCUCAUGCACGAAAGCGUGGGGAGCAAACAGGAUUAGAUACCCAAGUAGUCCCUGAGCGGGCUGGCAAGGCGCAU